UACGUAGGGUGCGAGCGUUAAUCGGAAUUACUGGGCGUAAAGCGUGCGCAGGCGGUUGGUUAAGUCUGAUGUGAAAGCCCCGGGCUCAACCUGGGAAUGGCAUUGGAAACUGGCUGGCUAGAGUGUGGCAGAGGGGGGUGGAAUUCCGCGUGUAGCAGUGAAAUGCGUAGAGAUGUGGAGGAACACCGAUGGCGAAGGCAGCCCCCUGGGCUAGCACUGACGCUCAGGCACGAAAGCGUGGGGAGCAAACAGG
This 253-nucleotide ribosomal RNA is filed under the name uncultured bacterium. Its description in RNAcentral is "partial 16S ribosomal RNA". It matches the Rfam family "Bacterial small subunit ribosomal RNA", at positions 524 to 776 of the family's 1533-position model. The record is from RNAcentral.